This 314-nucleotide ribosomal RNA is filed under the name uncultured eukaryote. RNAcentral's name for it is "partial 18S ribosomal RNA". It matches the Rfam family "Eukaryotic small subunit ribosomal RNA", at positions 1470 to 1796 of the family's 1831-position model. The record is from RNAcentral.
CCCUUAGAUGUUCUGGGCCGCACGCGCGCUACAAUGGCAGACUCAGCGAGUUACCUCUGUCGAAAGGCACAGGGAAUCUUUACAGUAUCUGCCGUGAUGGGGAUAGACCCUUGUAAUUUUUGGUCUUCAACGAGGAAUUCCCAGUAAACGCAAGUCAUUAACUUGCAUUGAUUACGUCCCUGCCCUUUGUACACACCGCCCGUCGCACCUACCGAUUGAAUGGUCCGGUGAAGUCCUCGGACCCAGUUGAACCUCGAGUUGAACAGGGAAAGUUGACUAAAUCUUACCAUUUAGAGGAAGGUGAAGUCGUAACA